This 253-nucleotide ribosomal RNA is filed under the name uncultured bacterium. Its description in RNAcentral is "partial 16S ribosomal RNA". It matches the Rfam family "Bacterial small subunit ribosomal RNA", at positions 524 to 776 of the family's 1533-position model. The record is from RNAcentral.
UACGUAGGGUGCAAACGUUAUCCGGAAUUAUUGGGCGUAAAGAGCUCGUAGGCGGUUUGUCGCGUCUGCUGUGAAAACUGGAGGCUCAACCUCCAGCCUGCAGUGGGUACGGGCAGACUAGAGUGCGGUAGGGGAGAUUGGAAUUCCUGGUGUAGCGGUGGAAUGCGCAGAUAUCAGGAGGAACACCGAUGGCGAAGGCAGAUCUCUGGGCCGUAACUGACGCUGAGGAGCGAAAGCAUGGGGAGCGAACAGG